This is a non-coding RNA of Pelobates cultripes (western spadefoot toad), 331 nucleotides long. The record is from the annotation of a GenBank genome assembly. Lineage: Eukaryota; Metazoa; Chordata; Amphibia; Anura; Pelobatidae.
GGCAUCAUUCAUUAAUUAGGAUCCUAAUGUAUGAUCUUUAAGUAUUUUACAGUAAUAAGCAGUGUACAUUAUUACAACUUACAGCAUUUAAGGAAGACGAUAUCUGUCUUUUGUACUAUAUUCAAAAAACUUGUUUAGCAGAUAAACCCCAGUCAAACUCUGUAAUUGAGGCUAACUGCUACAAGCUAACAUUGUGAAAACUAUUUACAAUCACAGUUUCAAACAGCAUUAUUGUUGCAAAGACUGUGGACUUUUCAUUCAUUUUUUUCAGUGACUUUUUCAACACAUAUUUUUUAUUUGUAUUUGAUCACAUAUGUUGCUAUAUUUGUGG